AUUGAACGCUGGCGGCAUGCCUAACACAUGCAAGUCGAACGGGGGCAGCAAUGCCCUAGUGGCGGACGGGUGAGGAAUACGUAGGAACCGGCCCACGAGUGGGGGACAACCUGGGGAAACCCAGGCUAAUACCGCAUACGCUCGCGAGAGGAAAGCGGGGGACCUUCGGGCCUCGCGCUGGUGGACGGGCCUACGUCCGAUUAGCUUGUUGGUGGGUAAAAGCCUACCAAGGCGACGAUCGGGGUAGCGUGGUCUGAGAGGAUGAUCAGCCACACUGGGACUGAGACACGGCCCAGACUCCUACGGGAGGCAGCAGUGGGAAUAUUGGACAAUGGGCGCAAGCCUGAUCCAGCAAUGCCGCGUGGGUGAAGAAGGCCUGCGGGUUGUAAAGCCCUUUAAGCGGGAGGAAAGCCGGGGGUGAGUAGCGCCUCGGGGUGACGGUUACCC
RNAcentral lists this ribosomal RNA (447 nucleotides) under uncultured bacterium. RNAcentral describes it as "bacterial SSU rRNA". It matches the Rfam family "Bacterial small subunit ribosomal RNA", at positions 28 to 480 of the family's 1533-position model. The record is from RNAcentral.